GACGAACGCUGGCGGCGUGCUUAACACAUGCAGGUCGAACGGUAAGGCCCUUCGGGGUACACGAGUGGCGAACGGGUGAGUAACACGUGGGUGAUCUGCCCUGCACUUCGGGAUAAGCCUGGGAAACUGGGUCUAAUACCGGAUAGGACUCCGGACUGCAUGGUCUGGGGUGGAAAGCUUUUGCGGUGUGGGAUGGGCCCGCGGCCUAUCAGCUUGUUGGUGGGGUGACGGCCUACCAAGGCGACGACGGGUAGCCGGCCUGAGAGGGUGACCGGCCACACUGGGACUGAGAUACGGCCCAGACUCCUACGGGAGGCAGCAGUGGGGAAUAUUGCACAAUGGGCGCAAGCCUGAUGCAGCGACGCCGCGUGAGGGAUGACGGCCUUCGGGUUGUAAACCUCUUUCAGCAUCGACGAAGCGAAAGUGACGGUAGGUGCAGAAGAAGGACCGGCCAACUACGUGCCAGCAGCCGCCGUAA
This 478-nucleotide ribosomal RNA is filed under the name uncultured bacterium. Its description in RNAcentral is "partial 16S ribosomal RNA". It matches the Rfam family "Bacterial small subunit ribosomal RNA", at positions 28 to 523 of the family's 1533-position model. The record is from RNAcentral.